UCAGAGGCUGUAUUUACAGCCACACACUUAUAAAUCUAUUAGAGA
Podiceps cristatus (great crested grebe) is the source of this 45-nucleotide non-coding RNA. Lineage: Eukaryota; Metazoa; Chordata; Aves; Podicipediformes; Podicipedidae. The record is from Rfam.